This 494-nucleotide ribosomal RNA is filed under the name uncultured bacterium. RNAcentral describes it as "partial 16S ribosomal RNA". It matches the Rfam family "Bacterial small subunit ribosomal RNA", at positions 28 to 507 of the family's 1533-position model. The record is from RNAcentral.
GACGAACGCUGGCGGCGCGCUUAACACAUGCAAGUCGAACGGAAAGGCCUGCUUUCCCUUGUGGAUUGCGGGUACUCGAGUGGCGAACGGGUGAGUAACACGUGAGUGAUCUGCCCCCAACUUGGGUAUAAGCCUGGGAAACUGGGUCUAAUUCCCGAUAGGACUGCAGGGUGGUGCCUGUGGUGGAAAACGAUUUUCUAGUGGUUGGGGAUGAGCUCGCGGCCUAUCAGCUUGUUGGUGGGGUAAUGGCCUACCAAGGCGGCGACGGGUAGCCGGCCUGAGGAGGUGGACGGCCACAUUGGGACUGAGAUACGGCCCAGACUCCUACGGGAGGCAGCAGUGGGGAAUAUUGCACAAUGGGCGGAAGCCUGAUGCAGCGACGCCGCGUGGGGGAUGACGGCCUUCGGGUUGUAAACUCCUUUCGACCGCGAGGAAGCCACCUGGUUGGAAGGGUGGUGACGGUAGUGGUAGAAGAAGCACCGGCUAACUACGUG